Molecule: ribosomal RNA, 484 nt
Filed under: uncultured bacterium
Lineage: Bacteria
Description: partial 16S ribosomal RNA
Rfam family: Bacterial small subunit ribosomal RNA
Source: RNAcentral
AUUGAACGCUGGCGGCAUGCUCUACACAUGCAAGUCGAACGGCAGCGCGGGCUUCGGCCUGGCGGCGAGUGGCGAACGGGUGAGUAAUGCAUCGGAACGUGCCCAGUGGUGGGGGAUAGCCCGGCGAAAGCCGGAUUAAUACCGCAUACGACCUGAGGGUGAAAGCGGGGGACCGAAAGGCCUCGCGCUAUUGGAGCGGCCGAUGUCGGAUUAGCUAGUUGGUGGGGUAAAGGCUUACCAAGGCGACGAUCCGUAGCUGGUCUGAGAGGACGACCAGCCACACUGGGACUGAGACACGGCCCAGACUCCUACGGGAGGCAGCAGUGGGGAAUUUUGGACAAUGGGGGCAACCCUGAUCCAGCCAUGCCGCGUGCGAGAAGAAGGCCUUCGGGUUGUAAACCGCUUUUGUUCGGGAAGAAAUCCUCUGGGCUAAUACCCCGGGGGGAUGACGGUACCGGAAGAAUAAGCACCGGCUAACUACGUG